AAGAGAAGAGAGGGAGGAGGAGAAAAGCAAAGGAAUCAGGGAGAAAAAAGAAGAAGAAGAGAAAAGAGGGAGCACGGGAAAGAGAAAGAAAAUAGGGAAAGAAAAACAGAAGAGAGUAGUGAUCUGUUUAUGAUGGGUUUGGAUUUCAGAAGAAGAAGAGAAUGAAGAUUGAGAUGAUUUUGGUUGUCGGCUGUACAAUAUAGCAAUGGGUGGAGGUUUUGCCAUUCGUUUUUGAAUGGGUGAGGAGGAAGAACUAGUUUAAAACGUGGGAAAGAAGAGGCAAAGAAGCAUAUCCCAAGAAGAUAUGGAUGUGGUUAGAAAUGAGUGGACAAAGUUUGUGGUCAAGACAUAUAUGUAAGCAUUGUACUUGGUACUUGGGUACCCAUAUAUUUUUUUAGUUCAGUUGAGACCUUGUUCUUUAGAUUUGGUUGGACAUGAGUUGAUGCUAGUACUUUGAAUUGAUAAUGUAAGAUUUGUGAGAAUGAUGUAUGAGAAUGUGGUAAAUGAAAUUGGAACUUCGAAUUUCAUAUCA
Rosa chinensis is the source of this 532-nucleotide long non-coding RNA. RefSeq lists it as uncharacterized. Lineage: Eukaryota; Viridiplantae; Streptophyta; Magnoliopsida; Rosales; Rosaceae. The record is from RefSeq and is a predicted model, not a curated record. The transcript is spliced from 2 exons.